This 253-nucleotide ribosomal RNA is filed under the name uncultured bacterium. Its description in RNAcentral is "partial 16S ribosomal RNA". It matches the Rfam family "Bacterial small subunit ribosomal RNA", at positions 524 to 776 of the family's 1533-position model. The record is from RNAcentral.
UACGAAGGGGGCUAGCGUUGUUCGGAAUUACUGGGCGUAAAGAGCAUGUAGGCGGCGCAAUCAGUCAGGGGUGAAAGCCCGGAGCUCAACUCCGGAAUUGCCUUUGAUACUGUUGUGCUUGAGUCAGGUAGAGGGUGGCGGAAUUUCCAGUGUAGAGGUGAAAUUCGUAGAUAUUGGAAAGAACACCAGUGGCGAAGGCGGCCACCUGGACCUGUACUGACGCUGAGAUGCGAAAGCGUGGGGAGCGAACAGG